AUAUAGAGUCUCACUCUGUGGUCCAGGCUGAAGUACAGUGGCAUGAUCCCAGGUCACUGCAACCCCCACCUCCCGGGUUCAAGUGAUCCUCCUGCCUCAGCCUCCCGAGUAGCUGGUAUUACAGGCGUGUGCCACAAAGCCUGGCUAAGUUUUGUAUUUUUAGUAGAGACGGGGUUUCACCAUGUUGGCCAGGUUGGUCUCGAACUCCUGACCUCAAGUGAUCCACUCACUUUGGCCUUUCAACGUGCUGGGAUUACAGGCGAGAGUCACCGCACCCGGACGACUCUGACAUUUUUGAAGAGUCCAGAAUCCUGUUACACCUGGGAUUUAGGCACUUUCAAUCUGAAAAAAUACAUAUCCUUUCAGCACUCUGGACGGACUUGAGAACUGUCCUUACGUGACCUAAAGCUGGAGUAUUUUGAGAUUGGAGAAUUAAGGCCUUCAGUGGGUUGAAUGAGGCCCAACCCACAUUGAAGAGGACCAUCUGCUUUACUCAGUCUCCUGGUUGAAGUGAUAAUCUCAUCUGGACAUACUCAGAAAUGCUGUUUAACCAGCUCUCUGGAAAUCCUGUGGCCCAGUCAAGUUGACACACAAAAUUAACCAUCACACUGCAGAGACACAGUCUAUCCCAAUACCUGUAUUUACUGGAGUGUGGGCACCCUGGCUUCAAGCUCACGAGAAACCAGAAAGUGCUGGGAUUACAGGAGUGAGCCACCGAGCCUGGCCGCUUCCGGUCUUUGGAUUUGAUUUUCCUCAAGUGUAAUUGAAAGCAGGGGCCUGGAUGGCCGCCAUAGUCCCUCCCAGCUUCGACAUUACACAUUCCUGCCAAUCCAUUUUUCAGGCUGAUAACAUUGUUCAGAGUUUAAUGGGAGCAGGGUAAGAUAGUCACCGUGUGGAGCAAAAAUUGAAGGAAAUAUUCCAGAUGUCAUGAUUUUUUACCUGUAGCCCCUCUGCUGCCACACCCUUGUGCACAUCCUCCAGACACUUUUAAAGAAUAAACUCUAUUUUCAGAAGAGUUUUAGAUUUACAGGAGAAUUGUGAAAACAGUUCAAAAAGUUCUCAUAUACCCUGCUCCCAGUUUUCCCUGUUACUAACGCUUUGCAUUAGUGUGGCACAUUUGCCACAAUUAAUGGACCAAUAUUGAUACAUUAUUAUUUACUGAAGUUGAAACAUUACUUUAGUUUUUACCUGGUCCAGGAUCCCAUCUGGGAUCCCACAUCACAUUUAGUGAUCAUGUCUUCUUAGAUUGCCCUGGGCUGUGCCGCUUUCUCAGACUCUCCUGGUUUGUGAUGACAUUGACAGUCUUGAGUUUUGAUGACCAGUUUUGACUGGUCAGGUAUUUCAUAGAACGUACCUCUGUGAGGGUUGUCUGAUUCUUCUUCUUAUUAGAUUGGGAUUAUGGAGGAAGGCCACAGAGGUAAAGUUCCGCUUUUAUGAAAUCAAGGGUAGGCACCAUCAGCAUGACCUAUCACUGAUGUUGACUUUGAUUACCUGGCUGCUGUAGUGGUUGUCAGGUUUGUCCACUUUAAAGAUACUUUUGUGUUUUUGUUCUUUCUUAACUCCCUUUUUAUAUUAAACUCUUCAGAAGGAAGUCACUGUGCAUAGCCAUCCCCUAAGAAGAGGGCAUUCCUGCUCUUCCUUCUCCAUGGCUAGAGGAUCUACAUGAACUAUUUAGAUUUUUUCUACCUGGGAGAUUUAACUCCUCUCUCCUAUUUAUUUAUUUAUAUAUCAGCAUGGACUUGCAGAUUGGGAACUCUUCAGUUACUUCCUGUGCCCAUUUGACAUACUUUCUUAUUAUGGGUCUUUCUUUCUUCCUUUUCUUUCCUUCUUUCUUUCUCUCUCUCUCUCUCUCUCUCUUCCUUCCUUCCCUUCCUCCCUCCCUCUUUUCUUUUCUUUUUUCUUUUCUUUCCUUCCUUCCUCCCUCCCUCACUCCCUCCUUCCUUCCUUUUUCUUCCUUUUUUCCUUCCUUCCUUCCCUCCCUUCCUCUUUUCUUUCUUCUUUCUUUCUUUCUUUCCUUCCUUUCUCCUUCCUUCCUUCCUUUUCUUCCUUUCUUUUCCUACCUUCCUUUUCCUUCCUUCCUUUCUUCCUUCCUUUCCUCCUUCCUCUUCUCCUCCUCCCCUUCCUUCCUUCCUUCCUUCCUUCCUUCCCUCCCUCCCUCUCUCUCUCUCUCUCUCUUUUUUUGGUGCAUCCAUACUUUCUGGCACUAUAAGAUGCUUAGGGCUUAUCUUGUAUAUUUCCAGCCCCAGUUAUAGAAUCAGCCAUUUCUUCAAGGAUCCCCUGUCAUUUUACUGGAGAAAGGACUUAGAAUCCAAGAUCUGGGUGCUAGAUGUGCUUGAGGUGUUGUUUCCUCCAGAUCUUCUCAACUGACAGAGCAGUGAAAUAUAUGUGUGUAGGGAGGAUGGGGAGAACAAUUUUUUUAACACAUAUGAAUACUUACCUGGCAGGGGAGAUACCAUGAUCACAAAGGUGGUUUCCCCAGGGUGAGGCUUAUCCAUUGCACUCCCGAUGUGCUGACCCCUGUGAUUCCCCCAAAUGUGGGAGACUUGACUGCAUAAUUUGUGGUAAUGGGGGACUGCAUUUACACUUUUCCCUGUAAAAAUUUUUAAAAAUAAAUAAAUACAUAAAUAAAUAAAUGUGUGUAUAUGAAUCCAUGUGCAUGCACGUAUGUGUAAAUAUUUCUCCAGGUAUCCAUCUUAUCUAUGUUAAGCUAACUAUGAGUUUAUACUGCUGUCUCCAACUCUAAUUCAUUACCACAUUUCACCCAUUUUUUUUUUUUUUGAAAUGGAUUCUCACACUUUCGCCCAAGCUGGAGUGCAGUGGUGUGAUCUCGUCUCACUGCAACCUCGCUCUCCCAGGUUCAAGCGAUCCUCCUGCGUCAGCCUCCCGAGUAGCUGGGAUUACAGGUGCACACCACCACACCUGGCUAAUUUUUGUAUUUUUAGUAGAAACGGGGUUUCACCAUGUUGGCCAGGCUGGUCUCGACCUCCUGACCUCAGGUGAUCCACCCACUUCAGCCUCCCGAAGUGCUGGGGUUACAGGCGUGAGUCACCACGCCCGGCCCCCAUCCACUUUUAACAAACUUGUUUUCUUUUUGCCCACAUUGACUGACAAAAGAAGGUAAUGAACAGAGAUGUUGGAAAGUUCACGUGGGGCAAGAGGAGUGGGCUGAGAACAUUGGACUUUUCCCUAUGGUCAAUGUGGCCUCAUUCAACAAAAAUCAAGAUGAGUCAGAUGCAUGUAGAAAGAGACUCCGAAAUGUGUCCUGCCUAGAUGUUUGCAAACCGGGACUCUGUGUUAUGCUCACAGGCCUUUGAAUGUGUCUCUCCCUGGGCUUCAUGUGCCCUUGCUGGUUUCUGGACUGUCCUGUUCUGCUCCUGUCCUCCUACUGACAGCCUUUCCUGCUUUCCUUUCCCUCCCAUGCCACUCCCACUCCAUACAACCUCUUCCCCUGCACACUGCUCCUAGAACCCCUUGGUUAGCCCCAUCAGGGAUGUCCCUGCUUUCCUGGGACCCGAGGCACACAGAAUGAGGAUGAAACAGUUGACGUAUCAUGUAGUAUCCCCCACCUGGCUUCCUUCUCAGCCAGGCGUCCCAAACUCAAUUGUCUGCAGAGGCCAGGCAGGCAACAAAAAUAAGUGAUGUGGGCCUCCUGGGCAGUCAGGAGGGCUUGGUGCAGAACUGGAAGCACCAGAGGUAGCAAGGAACCAGGAGAUCAGGCCAGCACCUGCUCUGAAUGGUCAGGCACCUCCAUGGUUGCAUAGCAAAUCAGUUGUUGAGAAAUGUUUUGACUAUGGUCCUUGUGUAGGCCCAGUAUAAAGGGGGAAAUGGCCAGUCUGUGGCUGCUGAUUAUGGCCCUGAAAGUCUGCAGGCCCAGAAUGGCCAGACCUGGUUGUUCAAAGGAAAACUGGCAGGUGGGAAGGGCGGAGGGCCUUGCCCCUUCCCAUUUGCCUCCUGUGCCUGACAGUGUCACCGUAGCAAUACUUUCCUGGCAGCAGGACUUUGUCCCAUAACAAUAGUUGAUUUUAGUGUGUAGGGCUUUUGUUGUUGUUGUUUAUUCCAUACUUGGAACCAGCUGCGUUGUGCUACUAUCAGAGAUGACAGCCCAGCCUGGAGCUCUGCAAGGUCCUCCAGGCUUCUCAGUUCUGAUCAUUCCACCAGCAGAUCCCAUCACCAAAGGGGUGUACUUGCUUCAUGCAGCUGCUGCUUCUCCCAGACCUCAUUGUCCCCCUUGUGCCUUUUCCAUGUUCAAUACAGGAUUUGUUUUUUAUCUGAAAUUCUACCCGUUAAAACAUUUGGUAUGUUUCCUCUUCUCUUGUGAGGUGUAUUUCUGUAUUUCCUACCUUUGCAUCCUUUGCUCAGUUCAACUUGAAGCAGGUUUCCAAGCUCAUCACUUGGAGGCCCAGGGCAUUGCCACUGCCCCCCACCCCACCGCCUACCGCCCACCUGCAGGUCUGUGCCAGGAAGCCCUGCGUGCUGUCUGCACCCCGUUUGGCUGCUUGCCCACAACCAUGACUGCUCCUGAGGGGCUCGCCAGCAGCACUGUUUCCCAGCCUGCUGUGCAUAAAGGUGACGCUUCGGGUUUUCCACAGUGAACAAUGGUUCCCAGAGUGGGCAGGACUCCCUAGUGUCUGCAAGGGUGUGUGACCAUGCAGGGUGGAAACAACCUUGUCAAAAUAAACCAGGGCAGUGCUGAGGGGGGAAGUGAGGCUAGCUGGGGGGAAAUGUGGGCUGAGUGCUUCUUGGGGGGUUUCCUCUGUACCGGUGCCCAGCUGCCCAAGGGUCCCAGAAGGCAGAGGCUGACACACUUCCUGUGACCCUUUCAGACUCGCCAUUGGCCCCCACCAGAUCAGGAAUCUGUUUUCCCUUGUUGACCUUGAGCCACUCACAGAGUGGGAAAGGUUUGCCUAUGGAACGAAAACAGUCCUCCUUCCAUGAUUUCCCCUUUGCUCCCAUGUUCAUCCAUGUGGGCUGCUGUAACAAAAUCCCAUAAACUGGGUGGUUUACAAACAACAAAAAUUUAUUUCUCAUAGUUCUCAAAGCUAAAAGUCCAAGAUCAAUGCGCUGGGAGAUUUGGUGUCUGGUGAGAACCUGCUUCUUGGUUCAGUGUCUUCUUACCGCGUCCUCACAUGGAGGAAGGGGCGAGAAAGCUUUCUGGAGCCUCUUUUGUCAAGGCACUAAUCCCAUUCAUGAGGACUCAACACUCGUGACUGGAUCGCCUCCCAAAGCCCCUACCUCCAAAUCCCAUCACCUUGAGGGUUAGGAUUUCAACUAUGAACUUUGGGGAGACACCGACAUUCAGACUGUAGCAGCUCCCCAGCACAAUCCUGCUCGACCGAAUUCACCUUCCUGACCAGGCACGUCAACAAUCUUUCUGUCCCUCUGAUGCCAGAACGUUAUGUUUCUGAGGGUGAAACUUGAGUGAUUAAUUGACAGUAUUCCUCAGGAAUCCUUGCUGAUUGCUGAAUGCAUAAAUGAGUGAAAGACCUGGAUAAUCCCCAACAGGCGCCUGAGUCUCACAUCCGCCCUGGGUGAUUCCCCAUGGCCAGGGGCCCACCUCGGUUCCCAGGGAUCCAUGGGCAUGAUCAUUGUGAUGAGCCACUACUCUCCAAUCUGGCCUCUGCACCUGUGUGACAUUUUCCUCCCAUUGCUUUACAUGUUACUCUUUCUUAUUCAGUAGGAUGUGCAGAUUGGUCAGGGUGUGUAUUAGUUUCCUAGAGCUGCUAUAACAAAGUACCACAAACUAGGUUGCCCAAAACAACAGAAAUGUAUUCUCUCAUAGUUGUGGAAGCCAGAAGUCUGAAAUCAAAGAGUUGUGAGGGCUGUGUUCUCCCUGCAGAUGCCCAGAAAAAUCCUCCCUUUCUCUCUCCCGGCCUCUGCUGGAGGCUGGCCAUCCUUGGCGCUCUUUGGCUUGUCAUUGCAUCAUCCAAGUCUCUGCCUCCAUCCUCCUGUGUCCUCUCCUGUGUGUUUGUGUCCAAAUUUCCCUUUUCUUAGAAUUGCAUCUUCUCUAAACCAGCAUGACCUCAUCAUAACUUGAUUACAUCUGCAAAGACCCAAUUUCCAAAUAAGGCACAUUCACAGGUUCUGGGAGUUAGGACUUCAACAUAACACUUCUGGGGACACAGUUAAACCCACAACAGAGUAUAAGGAGAAAAUGUUACAACUUCCUUUCUCUUCUUUUUUUUCCUUUUCUUUUCUUUUUUUCUCUUCUUUCUUUUUCCUUCCUCCCUCCCUGUCUCCCUCCCUCUCUGCCUCCCUCCCUCCCUCCCUCUUCCUUCCUUCCUUCCUUCCUUCCUCCCUUCUUUUUUCUUUCUUUUUUUGACGGAGUCCUGCUCUUUGCCCAGGCUGGAGUGCAGUGGUGCAAUCUCGGCUUGCUGCAACCUCCAUCUCCCAGGCAGGUUCAAGUAAUUCUCCUGCCUAAGCCUCCCGAGUAGCUGGGACUACAGGCACCUACCACCACACCUUUUUUUUUUUUAGUAGAGACAGGAUUUCACUGUGUUAGACAAUCCUGCCUCCCUCCCUCCCUCCCUUUCUUCCUUCCUUCCUUCUUUCCUUCCUUCCUUCUUUCCCUCCUUCCUUCCUCUCUUCUCCUCUCCUCUCUUACCCUCCCCUCCCCUUCUGUCUCCUCUGCUCCCCUGCCCUCCCUUCUCCUCCUUCUCCUUCUCCUUUUUCUUCUUCUCUUUGUUGUCCAGGCUGGAGUACAGUGGAAGGAUCAUGGCCCACUGUAGCCUAGACAUCCCAGGCUGAAAUGAUCCUCUCUCCUCAGCCUCCCAAGUACCUGGGACUACAGGUAUGUGUUCCCAUGCCUGACUAGUUUUUGUAUUUUUUGUAGAGACAGGAUUUCAUCAUGUUGCCCAGGCUGGUCUUGAAGAUAUCUGCUUGCCUCUGCCUCCCAAAGUACUGGGAUUACGGGUGUGCGCCAUUGCGCCUGGCCUGUUGAUUUCUUUUUUAUAAAAUGUCUUUGUUUUCAUCCCUGUUAUUAUAAUAAUAAUAUAGGCAUUCAUAUGCAUAUGUGUAAAUUAUAAGUGAGUUCUUAUAUAGAUUUGGGGGACUAUUCUCCAACAUGACUGAUGAGGGCAUAGUCAAAAGACAAAUUAAUCAGGCCACCAGUCUGAUUUAUGAAGCGUCUCUGUCUUUGUCUAUUUGGGCUGCUAUAACAAAAUAUCAUAGAAUAAAGGGCUUAGUUUAUUUUCUUACUGUGCUAGAGGCUGGGAAGUCCAAGGUCAAGGUGUGAACUGAUUCAGUUUCUGGUGGGGGCUCUCCUCUUGGCUUGCAGAUGGUUGCCUUCUUCUGUGUCCUUACAUGGUUGUAGGAGCAGAGAGGGUUCUCUGGUGUUUCUUCUUAUAAGGACACAUAUCCUUUCAGAUUAGGACUUCACCCUUAGGACCUCGUUUAACCUUACCAACCUCCAUAAGGUUUCUAUCUCCAAUAAAGUCACCUUAGGGGUUGGGACUUCAACAUAUGAAUGCAGAAUGGAUGCUGGCACCUUUCAGUCCACAGCAGGCCGCAACUACUGUAUUUCAUUGUACAAUAAGAUCCCCUUGACUCUUGUGAAUUAUAAUGAACAUUAGUCUGUAAAGCAGGUCCUUGUAAUCCAGCCAGUUUGUAUACAGUAGGUAAUCAAGAACUAUGGAUUUACUGGGUUUAUUGGGUGGGGGAGAAGGGAGGGCUUUAUUCAGGUGCCAGCACUUCUUCACCUUUCUCUACAUUUGCUCAUCCUGGAGGUGGGGUUGAGCUGGGUCUGCCUUGUCCCCUCACUUCCCUCUCUGCCGAGAGAGUCCUGAGCCCACCCAUUACUGGUAGCAAAGCCCGGGGCACAAUCUCCGUUUUCCUAUUUGUAAAAUGGAGCUAACAGUAGUACCCAUCUCAUCAGAUGGCUGUAGAGAUGAAAUGAGAUAAUGUAUUUGUGGCGUUAGGACAACAGUGGUCCUGCUACAGGGAGAAGCCUGGGCCAGGAGAUAGACUAGUCUCCAGAUACCACUGAAGUAGCCUUUCGAAUACCAAUUACCUGCCUCACUUUGCAGCUGUGCAGCCCUGAACAAGUUACUUUCCCUCUCUGAUUUUCCAGUCUUUGUUACCUGUAAAUGUAACAAUGCCUUUCUCUAUGUUGUUGCGAAGUCCACAUAAAGUGACAUGAAAUUGAUUAUAAAAUACAACACAGGCUGGGCACAGUGGCUCACGCCUGUAAUCCCAGCACUUUGGGAGGUGGAGGAGGGCAGAUCACUUGAGGUUGGGAGUUCAAGACCAACCUGACUAACAUGGAGAAACCCCGUCUCUACUAAAAAUACAAAAUUAGCCAGGCAUGGUGGCACAUGACUGUAAUCCCAGCUACUCGGGAGGCUGAGGCAGGAGAAUCGCUUGAACCUGGGAGGUGGAGGUUGCAGUGAGCGGAGAUCACACCAUUGCACUCCAGCCUGGGCAACAAGAACAAAACUCCAUCUCAAAAAAAAAAAAAGUUACAACACAAAGGUUGGCAACUAUCACUAAUAAGUUUGACUGGGAAACCUCACUACUACAUUUGUAUUGUCUUAGACCAAGCUUGUGAGAUUUUUUUGUUAUUUGUUUUUGAAGCUCAUCAGCUAUCGUUAGUGUUAGUGUAUUUUAUGUGUGGCCCAAGACAAUUCUUCUUCUUCCAAUGUGGCCCAGGGAAGCCAAAAGAUUGGACACCCCUGUCUUAGACUUUUAAGGAGCUGUGACUGAAGGAUGGAGACUGGGCCAGGUGGGGCUUGGUGCAAGUUUAAGCUCUUAGGUCAUUUCUAAAUAGCAAACCUCUCAAAUAGCAUCCAACAGAUAUGCCCUAGUCUUGUCGUCUUUCCCCUGCUAUCUUUUGUACAUGUACCUUCUGCUGACUGCAGUGUGUCCUGGAGCCCUGACUUAGUUAAACCUCAGAACAUCCCUCUGCAUCCGGAUGCAUCCAGUACUCUCGGUUUGUCUGGCUCCUGCUGUACUCCCUGCAUCUGCCCAGCUGCUGACACAGCCACAUAUGGCUUCCUUUGCCCCAGCUUUCAGCAUUCUGGUGGCUUGUAGUGCUGAGUGCUAGCAAAGAAAGUGGGUACUCUCACACACUGCUGCUGAAAGGUGGAGGGUGAUGAACAGGACCAACAGCUCUAAAAGACGUUUCAAGGCCAGGUGUGGUGGCUCACACCCGCAAUGCCAGCACUUUGGGAGGCCAAGGCAGGCAGAUUACUUGAGGUCAGGAGUUCGAGGCCAAGCAGCCAACAAGGUGAAACCCCAUCUCUACCAAAAAUACAAAAAUUAGCCAGAUGUGGUAGUGCGCGCCUGUAGUCCCAGCUACUCAGGGGGCUGAAUAAGGAGAAUCACUUGAACCUGGGAGGCAGAGGUUGCAGUGAGCUGAGAUUGCGCCACUGCACUCCAGCCUCAGUGACAGAGUGAGACCUUGUCUCAAAUAAUAAUAAUAAUAAUAAUAAUAAUAAUAAUAAUAAUAAUAAUAAAAAGAUAAGGGAAAUUUGGGCAGGACUUCUCCAAGUUUAGAGUAUAUGCACCCUUUGGCCCAGCAAUCCCACUUCUCGGAGUCUGUACCCUAGAAAUAGUGAGGGAAGUUUCAAAAGAUAUUUAUUCAACAGCAUUAGUAAUGUAUCAGAACCUUGAAGACAGCCUAGCUGGUCAACAGUACAAUGCUCAGUUGCCACUAUAAAGAAUGAGAUGCUGUGUCCUUCUCAGUGCCUCAGAUCAGGAGGCACCUGGUGUUGGCUUGUCACAUUACUAAUGAUGUUUACUUCCAUCACUUGAUUAAGGUGAUGUCUGCCAGAUUUCUCUACUGUAAAGUUUCUAUUUUUUUUUCUGUGUAAUGAAUAAGUAUCUUGUCAGGAGAUGCUUUGGACCUAUGUAAGUAUCUUGUUUCUCAUCACACUUUCACCAAACUAAUUUUAGCAUUCGUGGAUAAUUCUUGUCUGAAACAGUUAUUACUACAGUGUGUGCCAAACAGUGAUUUUCUACUUCCAUCAUUACUCCUACAUUUGUCAAUUAAAAUGUUACUAUAAGGAAGAUAUUUUCUUUUAUAUUGAAAAAAUGCAAUUUUUUAAAAAUCAGUCUGGACUCUUGGAUUCUCAUUAUAUUGGUUAUAACCCAUGACUAUAAUACAUUUUGUGCUCAGAUUUUUCUAGAUUUUACAUUGGGAUGCCCUUCAAGUUGGGUUCUAUGUAUUUUUGCCAUUUUACUGUUGUUUUUUGAGCACUGCCUUACCUUUUGACCCCACAAGAUAUUCUAGGCUCAGUGUACACUUUGCCUGGUCCAGCCCUGGAAUCAGCCAUUGCUGCUGUGCUAUCCUUGACAGAACUAUAACCUGAAUUUAACAAGGAGGAAAUAUCAGGCAAACACAAAUGGAGUGACAUUCUAGUUAACAACUGAUCAGCACUCUUUAAAAAUGAAAGACAAAGAAUGACUGAGGAAUGAGUUCAGAUUAAAAGAGACGAAGGGACACGCUCCAACUGUAACUGCAACGCAUGACUGCGGGCUGCGUUCUGCAUUGGAAAAAAGUGUUACUGAUGAAAUUUGAAUAUCGUCUCUAGAUUGAGCAACUAAGCAAUAAUAUUGUAUUAAAUUGCUAGAUUGGGCAAUAGUAUUGUACUAAAGUUAAUUUCCUGACACAGUUAAAUAAUUGUACUGUGUAUAUAAGAUGUCAAAAUUGAGAAGUUGCAAGGCUAAAUGGAAUUUCUCAGUUUUUUAAACUCUUACUUUGUACAUCUGAAAUUAUUUUAAAAUAAAAACUAAAAAAAAAAAACCUAAAUACAAACCAUGAGAUAGAUUUAUAUGUACUAAUAUGGGAUGGUGUCCACAAUCAAUUGGAAAAGAUAAGUUGUAGUACCAUUUGUAUAGAAUUGGCCCAUUUUUGUAGGAGCAAGACAGAACAAUAUAGUGCACAUACAUAUUUAUCUACACAUGGGAGAAAUUCUGUGAAGGGUAUGUACUUCCUGUUAACAGACAUUUCUGGGAAAUGUGUUUGGAAGGUAUGAGACACCUUUUACUUUUUGAUGUCUCCUGAUAAUGGGAAAACAGUAAGAAUGUGGGUUGUAUGCAUGAGUGUGAUUCUACACGUGUAGGUUUAGGUUUGAUGUACUCCCAUCCAGCUUAUUCUCUUUUGCAUUUUCCAGCACAGGCAGUGCUGUGCAAUGUCUUGCCCAGUGGACACCCACCUAAUUUUCACUCCACAAACCACUGUCCUACAUCUGAUCCUUAACAAAGUAUGUUAGUUGUAGACACAAAGGUGGCCUACAUUUCAUACUUGUUGACAGUAAUGCUAGUUGACUCAUCUUACCUUUGUCUGAGGAGGCUGGAAAUUGUUUGUCCUCAGAAACUUUAGGGAGAAAUUUAUUACUAAGAUUGUAUCAUUUUGGUCUCCCCAGAGAAAUGAAAAAUUAGAAAUUGGCCAUGUGACAAUCGUUGCAUUUACCUCUUUAAGGAGCAGUGAUUCUUUAAGUGGUGCUUGAUUUAUCUAAACCCGAUUAAUUAGUGAACGGUCAUCUGUUUCUCCCAGGAAUUUUUAAUGAUCAUUAGGCUUUUGUAGUUACUGUGAAAUUUUGUUUACGUGGAUUUAUUUUUGUGCAGGAUUGUAUACAGGGCAGAUGCUCCUUAAUUUAAGAAGGGAGAUGUGAGAACAAAAGUGUCUUCUCUUGAGUGAGGGCCUGUUAUGUGCCCUGACUUGUUACAAAUAUCGACUAAUGUAACCUUCUCUACCAUGUACCUUUCUUCCAAUUUAUCAAUGAGGAAACUGAUGCAAAAAUGUAUGUUCCCACAGGCUCUGGUGUGUUCACUGAGUUAGCUCCAGAAAGAACUGUCCCCUUCUCAUGCCUGUUCCCUACUUCUUUUGCAGCUAAUUCUCCGAAAUGGUUUCUGUCUUCAGCUUUCUGGGCUGCCCCAUCACCUGUGUUGCUUCUAAAUGUUAGUUUCAUUGCUGCCUUCUGGGUUCCUCUGCUUCUCUCUGACAUGAUGUCUCUACGGAUGCAUCUCUCAGUAAUGAUUAUAAUGGUGGUGAUGAUAAUAAAAAGAGAAUACACAAGUGUUUUUAUCAAUCCCUGACCAUGCUGGGCACAAUGCUAAGCAUGUGCAGGCAUGAUGUCUUUAUUCUGCCCACUCAGCUGAUGAGAUUGAAGGGGCUCCCUGCAGGUUGGGGCCUGAAAAACACAGCCAGGUCCAUCUAGGAACUAGAAGCUAUGGUCAGGCUUACAUGCUUUUUUCAUAUCAGUGUUCAUGUAGAUGUUUAAGCUCUUGCAGUAGGUUUUUGCAAGCUAGUGAACGCUGCCAAAUUAUGCUCGCCACACAAUUGCAGCCACCUAUUCCCAGGCAGUAUAAAUAUAUGGCUGAACUAACAUUAAUACCUAUCACUGUUUUAUCAAGUGACAUAAUCAAGAUAAUUAUGAAGUAUCCAAAUAUUAAUUUUCAUAGAUUAAAAGCAGAUAAAGUAUUAGAAAUCUGCUUAUAUCAUUAGCAGAAACAUUUUUGGGGGCCACAGGGUAAGGAAAAGAGGGGAAAAUAUUGUCCUUCAACAAAAGUAAUCAUAUUCUAGUAAGUAUAAUAAAAGAAAUGACAAGCUUUUCAGAAUUUCCACGACUAAAAAUUGUUUUAGCUGCAGCUAAAAAAGCAUCACAUAACAAAAUAUCUCUUGUUUAAAAUAUUUGCUACAAAAAAGUCCUAUUCUAUAUGUCCUGCAUAAGAACAAGUAUCUUUAUAUAAGAAAUGUGUUUAAUAGCCCUCUUUCAUUCUUUUUCUGAAGCCCUCCCUGUUAAAUUGCACCCAAAGGGGAAACAUUAAUUGAACUGUAAAGCUUUUUUUUUUUCUGUCUAAAGACAUUAAAGACAUAUAGGUGGUAUUAAAUGAACCUUUAACUAGAGCUCUGUGAGUUUUCAAAAUAGAUUUUAUUUUUCUUUACCAUAGGCCAACAGAGAUUUUGAGAAACACAUUGAAGGAUCUGUUAACACUUGAUAUACCCAAUAAAAGCAGUGGUUGUGCCAGUGCUGAUCUGUCUUGAUGUGAAUGUGAACAAUGGGAACCUGAGCUGAGCAGUUAAUGCUAGGGUGACAGAAACUGGACCUCUCCCAAGACAUGUGACAGAGUAAUACAGCAGCCAACUUCUUCGCCAAAUUAAAGUUUUACAAGAUUUAACCUGUCAUCAAGACCUGGGAUUUUGGUG
RNAcentral lists this long non-coding RNA (13144 nucleotides) under Homo sapiens (human). RNAcentral's name for it is "non-protein coding PVT1:75". The stretch from base 2430 to 2593 matches the Rfam family "U1 spliceosomal RNA". The record is from RNAcentral. Lineage: Eukaryota; Metazoa; Chordata; Mammalia; Primates; Hominidae.